Molecule: ribosomal RNA, 264 nt
Filed under: uncultured archaeon
Lineage: Archaea
Description: partial 16S ribosomal RNA
Rfam family: Archaeal small subunit ribosomal RNA
Source: RNAcentral
CACGCUGUAAACUAAUGCGCGUUAGGUGUAUCGGUGACCACGAGUUACCGGGUGCCGAAGGGAAACCGUGAAACGUGCCGCCUGGGAAGUACGGUCGCAAGGCUGAAACUUAAAGGAAUUGGCGGGGGGAGGCACCACAACAGGUGAAGCCUGCGGUUUAAUUGGACUCAACGCCGGGAAGCUCACCGGAUAGGACAGCAGAAUGAUAGCCGGGCUGAAGACCCUGCAUGACUAGCUGAGAGGAGGUGCAUGGCGUAGUCGUGU